RNAcentral lists this ribosomal RNA (254 nucleotides) under uncultured bacterium. RNAcentral's name for it is "partial 16S ribosomal RNA". It matches the Rfam family "Bacterial small subunit ribosomal RNA", at positions 524 to 776 of the family's 1533-position model. The record is from RNAcentral.
UACGUAGGGACCAAGCGUUGUUCGGAUUUACUGGGCGUAAAGGGCGCGUAGGCGGCCAUUCAAGUCAGCUGUGAAAUCUCCGGGCUUAACUCGGAACGGUCAGCUGAUACUGCUUUGCUAGAGUGCAGAAGGGGCAAUCGGAAUUCUUGGUGUAGCGGUGAAAUGCGUAGAUAUCAAGAGGAACACCUGAGGUGAAGACGGGUUGCUGGGCUGACACUGACGCUGAGUGCGCGAAAGCUAGGGUAGCAAACGGG